Molecule: non-coding RNA, 501 nt
Organism: Myodes glareolus (Bank vole)
Lineage: Eukaryota; Metazoa; Chordata; Mammalia; Rodentia; Cricetidae
Source: RefSeq, a predicted model, not a curated record
AAAUGCUCCCGUUCCUUGGCAGAACCCAAUCUCAGGGUCGUUUCUGAAGGCUCUUAGCAAAGCCCUUGGUAAAGACCUGCAAAGCAGACUUCCCUGCACCCAGCAGUCACUUUCAUCGUCAUGGAAACCAGGGUCUCAUUCCUGCUUAUCAAGUAAUUGAUGGGAGAAGCUGAAAGGGGCAAGAGUGAAGAUACAGUCUGAGAUUUAUGUCGUGUAUGAAACUAUCAGCCACGGAGAGAGGCAUGUUGUAUUGGAGUCGCUUGGCCCUAUCGGCAUGGUCUUCUCCGGGAAUCCUUAACCAGAAGCAAGGGGGCUUGCGUUCUCUUGGACCGUGGUUGAGUCGUCAGCAAGCCAUGGCUUGGAGUUUCCCUGUUACCUUUGGGAGCAAGGUUGCAGAGCACUGGUGAAGAGCUGGUUGCCCAGCAGGAGCAGGAGAGCAGCUGGUGUCAAAUGCUGGAGUCCACAUUCUGUCUUGUAAUCGUUGUGUGGAUUUUGAUAUUA